This 440-nucleotide ribosomal RNA is filed under the name uncultured bacterium. RNAcentral describes it as "partial 16S ribosomal RNA". It matches the Rfam family "Bacterial small subunit ribosomal RNA", at positions 339 to 795 of the family's 1533-position model. The record is from RNAcentral.
CUACGGGGCGCUCCAGUGGGGAAUCUUGCGCAAUGGGCGAAAGCCUGACGCAGCCACUCCGCGUGGAGGAUGAAGCAUUAAGGUGUGUAAACUCCUUUUUUGGGGGAAGACGACUGACGGUACCCCAAGAAUAAGGGACGGCUAACUACGUGCCAGCAGCCGCGGUAAUACGUAGGUCCCAAGCGUUAUCCGGAUUUACUGGGCGUAAAGCGUCCGAAGCCGGUUUAGUAAGUUCGUUUUCAAAUCCUGGGGCUCAACCCCAGAAAGGGAGCGAAUACUGCUUUACUAGAGAAAUGUAGGGGUUAGUAGAAUUUCAGGUGGAGGGGUGAAAUCCGUUGAUAUCUGAAGGAAUACCGAAAGCGAAGGCAGCUAACUAUACAUUUUCUGACGGUCAUGGACGAAAGCGCGGGUAGCAAACGGGAUUAGAUACCCCAGUAGUC